RNAcentral lists this ribosomal RNA (2902 nucleotides) under Escherichia coli KOEGE 71 (186a). RNAcentral's name for it is "bacterial LSU rRNA". It matches the Rfam family "Bacterial large subunit ribosomal RNA". Lineage: Bacteria; Pseudomonadati; Pseudomonadota; Gammaproteobacteria; Enterobacterales; Enterobacteriaceae. The record is from RNAcentral.
UUAAGCGACUAAGCGUACACGGUGGAUGCCCUGGCAGUCAGAGGCGAUGAAGGACGUGCUAAUCUGCGAUAAGCGUCGGUAAGGUGAUAUGAACCGUUAUAACCGGCGAUUUCCGAAUGGGGAAACCCAGUGUGAUUCGUCACACUAUCAUUAACUGAAUCCAUAGGUUAAUGAGGCGAACCGGGGGAACUGAAACAUCUAAGUACCCCGAGGAAAAGAAAUCAACCGAGAUUCCCCCAGUAGCGGCGAGCGAACGGGGAGCAGCCCAGAGCCUGAAUCAGUGUGUGUGUUAGUGGAAGCGUCUGGAAAGGCGCGCGAUACAGGGUGACAGCCCCGUACACAAAAAUGCACAUACUGUGAGCUCGAUGAGUAGGGCGGGACACGUGGUAUCCUGUCUGAAUAUGGGGGGACCAUCCUCCAAGGCUAAAUACUCCUGACUGACCGAUAGUGAACCAGUACCGUGAGGGAAAGGCGAAAAGAACCCCGGCGAGGGGAGUGAAAAAGAACCUGAAACCGUGUACGUACAAGCAGUGGGAGCCUCUUUAUGGGGUGACUGCGUACCUUUUGUAUAAUGGGUCAGCGACUUAUAUUCUGUAGCAAGGUUAACCGAAUAGGGGAGCCGAAGGGAAACCGAGUCUUAACUGGGCGUUAAGUUGCAGGGUAUAGACCCGAAACCCGGUGAUCUAGCCAUGGGCAGGUUGAAGGUUGGGUAACACUAACUGGAGGACCGAACCGACUAAUGUUGAAAAAUUAGCGGAUGACUUGUGGCUGGGGGUGAAAGGCCAAUCAAACCGGGAGAUAGCUGGUUCUCCCCGAAAGCUAUUUAGGUAGCGCCUCGUGAAUUCAUCUCCGGGGGUAGAGCACUGUUUCGGCAAGGGGGUCAUCCCGACUUACCAACCCGAUGCAAACUGCGAAUACCGGAGAAUGUUAUCACGGGAGACACACGGCGGGUGCUAACGUCCGUCGUGAAGAGGGAAACAACCCAGACCGCCAGCUAAGGUCCCAAAGUCAUGGUUAAGUGGGAAACGAUGUGGGAAGGCCCAGACAGCCAGGAUGUUGGCUUAGAAGCAGCCAUCAUUUAAAGAAAGCGUAAUAGCUCACUGGUCGAGUCGGCCUGCGCGGAAGAUGUAACGGGGCUAAACCAUGCACCGAAGCUGCGGCAGCGACACUAUGUGUUGUUGGGUAGGGGAGCGUUCUGUAAGCCGUUGAAGGUGUGCUGUGAGGCAUGCUGGAGGUAUCAGAAGUGCGAAUGCUGACAUAAGUAACGAUAAAGCGGGUGAAAAGCCCGCUCGCCGGAAGACCAAGGGUUCCUGUCCAACGUUAAUCGGGGCAGGGUGAGUCGACCCCUAAGGCGAGGCCGAAAGGCGUAGUCGAUGGGAAACAGGUUAAUAUUCCUGUACUUGGUGUUACUGCGAAGGGGGGACGGAGAAGGCUAUGUUGGCCGGGCGACGGUUGUCCCGGUUUAAGCGUGUAGGCUGAUUUUCCAGGCAAAUCCGGAAAAUCAAGGCUGAGGCGUGAUGACGAGGCACUACGGUGCUGAAGCAACAAAUGCCCUGCUUCCAGGAAAAGCCUCUAAGCAUCAGGUAACAUCAAAUCGUACCCCAAACCGACACAGGUGGUCAGGUAGAGAAUACCAAGGCGCUUGAGAGAACUCGGGUGAAGGAACUAGGCAAAAUGGUGCCGUAACUUCGGGAGAAGGCACGCUGAUAUGUAGGUGAAGCGACUUGCUCGUGGAGCUGAAAUCAGUCGAAGAUACCAGCUGGCUGCAACUGUUUAUUAAAAACACAGCACUGUGCAAACACGAAAGUGGACGUAUACGGUGUGACGCCUGCCCGGUGCCGGAAGGUUAAUUGAUGGGGUCAGCCGCAAGGCGAAGCUCUUGAUCGAAGCCCCGGUAAACGGCGGCCGUAACUAUAACGGUCCUAAGGUAGCGAAAUUCCUUGUCGGGUAAGUUCCGACCUGCACGAAUGGCGUAAUGAUGGCCAGGCUGUCUCCACCCGAGACUCAGUGAAAUUGAACUCGCUGUGAAGAUGCAGUGUACCCGCGGCAAGACGGAAAGACCCCGUGAACCUUUACUAUAGCUUGACACUGAACAUUGAGCCUUGAUGUGUAGGAUAGGUGGGAGGCUUUGAAGCGUGGACGCCAGUCUGCGUGGAGCCGACCUUGAAAUACCACCCUUUAAUGUUUGAUGUUCUAACGUGGACCCGUGAUCCGGGUUGCGGACAGUGUCUGGUGGGUAGUUUGACUGGGGCGGUCUCCUCCUAAAGAGUAACGGAGGAGCACGAAGGUUGGCUAAUCCUGGUCGGACAUCAGGAGGUUAGUGCAAUGGCAUAAGCCAGCUUGACUGCGAGCGUGACGGCGCGAGCAGGUGCGAAAGCAGGUCAUAGUGAUCCGGUGGUUCUGAAUGGAAGGGCCAUCGCUCAACGGAUAAAAGGUACUCCGGGGAUAACAGGCUGAUACCGCCCAAGAGUUCAUAUCGACGGCGGUGUUUGGCACCUCGAUGUCGGCUCAUCACAUCCUGGGGCUGAAGUAGGUCCCAAGGGUAUGGCUGUUCGCCAUUUAAAGUGGUACGCGAGCUGGGUUUAGAACGUCGUGAGACAGUUCGGUCCCUAUCUGCCGUGGGCGCUGGAGAACUGAGGGGGGCUGCUCCUAGUACGAGAGGACCGGAGUGGACGCAUCACUGGUGUUCGGGUUGUCAUGCCAAUGGCACUGCCCGGUAGCUAAAUGCGGAAGAGAUAAGUGCUGAAAGCAUCUAAGCACGAAACUUGCCCCGAGAUGAGUUCUCCCUGACUCCUUGAGAGUCCUGAAGGAACGUUGAAGACGACGACGUUGAUAGGCCGGGUGUGUAAGCGCAGCGAUGCGUUGAGCUAACCGGUACUAAUGAACCGUGAGGCUUAACCUU